UGUGUGUGUGUGUGUGUUAGAGUAGCCUACAGUGAUUACGCAUCUCGAGCGCGUCCCCGGUGGCGCAGAGCGUGUCACCCGCCGCUGUAGGCGGAGGCGAGCCCGUUUGCCCGUGAUAUUAAUAUCUUUUACCGCUAUUCCAAUCCCCGAAUCAGUUCGCAAGUAUUUGCUCGUUCGCCGCUUGUGUUGUCCUGCAUUUGCAAACACUGGACAGCAACUUAACCUGUUUGUGUUGACAGCUGCUGAAGUCCUGUGCAAUGUCUCGUCGAAAACAGGCGAAGCCCAGAUAUCUGAAAGGUCAAGAUAGAACGUUAAAUACAGAGGAAGAUAGCAUGAUAGUGGGGAAGAAACAUUGCUCCUGGGAGAGGAGAAAAGAAAACAAUGAGGAAAGGGAAAGAACUGAAAAAGAGAAGGAUGCAGAUGCUAAAGAGCACAAAUGUGCAAGCCUACAACAACCAGAAUCAUUCACCCAACAGAGACUGAAGUACUGCCACAGUACAGACGGAUUAAAAGGAAUAAAGACUUCUAGGGUUUUAUAUUCAGGGUUUAGUGUUUCUGCAUGUUUCUGUGACCUUUAAAUGAGCAAAUCAUAAUGUGGAGAAAGAUGAAGCAUGGUGUUU
This is a long non-coding RNA of Cyprinus carpio (common carp), 620 nucleotides long. RefSeq lists it as uncharacterized. The record is from RefSeq and is a predicted model, not a curated record. The transcript is spliced from 4 exons. Lineage: Eukaryota; Metazoa; Chordata; Actinopteri; Cypriniformes; Cyprinidae.